AAGAAAUAUUGACGUUGUGCUUUUUUUCCGGAUCAUAUGUUUGGUCAACACGAAUGGAUUUUUAAGUCACUUGGCAAACGAGACACGAAUGACAUGUCCGAUAACUAUAAUAAUUUCUUUAGUCAAGCUAAUAUAAUCGCCCCGCUUAAAGCAUACUAUUGCUAGGCAUGAAUAGUGCAACUUGGAUUUAAAGGCGUUAUCACAGUCAUUACAUGAAAGAGCGGGACUUGAGCAAUAAUUGUAUGUGACCAAAAUGUAUUGCAUACUUAAAUGGCAAGCGUAACUUUGUUAAAAGUCCGAAGAAUUACAAUGUUUUGCAGACAGGAAAAACACUCUUUAAAAGUUACAGAAUAGCAUUACAUAAAGAAAGAUCUUUCUGCGAUCAUUUUCAUUGUUAGACUGUGUAUGGGCUACAUAUCAUUUUAUACAUAUACUAUAUAAUUAUCACUUAUCGCCAGAUAUUGAAAGGGUGAUAGCGUUUAAAAAUGUAUGUAUUUGCUGGGAUCGCAAUCACACUUAACACAUAAAUGUGUAGGUGCAAUUUCCUUGUGUGAUAUAUCAGUAAAACUUGACUGUUGUAUGGUGUUGUUUUGUUUAUCAGACAAACCUAAUUAUCCUGGUACUCGUCUUGAAACAAUUGUUCGGAUUUGCCGCUAUGUUAAAGAAAACAGAAGCUGAGAAAGUCAAGGCCGGUGUGUGGAGUGUGUGUAUCCUUCUGCCCGUGCUCGGCCUCACAUGGGUGUUCGGUAUCUUCGCAGUCAACAAUGACACGCUCGUUUUCCAGUACAUGUUCGCCAUGUUCAACAGCCUUGAGGUACGCGACGCUCUCCGCCAGAGUAAGGUGCCAUGGUUCACAUCGACCGACGAUCGUACCGGUGACCAGAGAUGAGGUCCACGCAGAAAUCUACAUAACACACUGUCAAUGUGUCAACACAGAAAACCACGGUGAUUACAAAGUCAGAGAAUAGGGCGACUGUACAAAUAUGGUUUAUGUUAUAACUGUUUGAUUUGUGAUUAGUGGGUUGUUUUAUUAUAGCAAACGUUUUUUAAUGAUGCAUAACCGUUUUUUAUAUGACUUCUUGUAUUAUAAUGUCAAGUUUUCAUGUCGUUUCAAAAAGUAAAGAUUUACUGUAACGACAUUUUUGUUUACAUUUUUUGUUUGGUAAUGAAUAAUCAAUAUACUUCCGCUUUAUCAUUUGCAGUGUAGAGCUUUUUAUUAUUGCGUUUUUUAAGAUUGUAAUAUAAUUUUGUAAAACAACGACACAGGACGUGCAUUUGUAAGAUAACAAUCUGGACUAUGGUGCUGUAUUGGUACUUUAUUAACGGAGUUUGAUAGUAAAUUUUGCAGUGGCAGUUCGAUCGUGAUACAGUCAGAACAUUUUGAAUGUAUUUGCAAAUUAGUUGUCUAGUAGAUUACCACAAAAGACUAAUACAUUGUGUAUCAAUGACAAAUAUUAGAUUGUUUACUCCGUAAUAAAGUGUAUGCUGGUAAUUUAUUUUGAAAUAGUUAUCAUAUAUGUAAAAUGCAUAUUUUAUUACUCUUUGAAUUAAUUUGAUUUAUGUUUCUUUAAUUCGUAAUACAGUAUGGACAUAAAUCUUUUUCUUUAUUUUUGUUUUUGAAACAUGUUCAUAUUUUGUUUUUGAAACAUGUAGCGUAAGAUUGUAUUUAUUUUCUCUAGUUAAUAAGUUUUUUUUAAGUUUUAUGAUUUACGUUUUCCUAGAUUUUAAAUUGCUUGGAAAUGCUGGUAUUGGGUGGCUAAUAGGUACUUGUCCAGAAAUAUAUUUAUUAUUAUUUCCACAUUGUAAAUUGUUAAUCACAACAUAUUGCAAAAUUGUACAACAUUUUACCAUCCAGUUAACUGUUUACUCUUGGUUAGAUACAUUUACCCCUUGACUGGAUUGAGCGUUUUCUAUAAUAUGACCCUAUUUACAAAAUACUUCGGUUUUUUAAAUGGGAUAUACAUAUAUUGUGACAAUAAGCUUAAUAAAUAUUCUCAAGUGGAUUUUGAUAGUAGAAACAGCAUGAACAGUGUCAAUGAAAGCGCAGAUUGCAUUUUAUCUCAAAUAAUAUGUGUACUCAUCUGGAUAAAAUGGCAGAAACGACAACAAAUCGUUCAGUGACAGGAAACUUCAAUUACGUGUUUUGUCAUUUGUAGUGGGAUUAAAUCCAUUUAUUGUACAUAUUCAUUUUAUAUAAUAUAU
Long non-coding RNA from Dreissena polymorpha, 2202 nucleotides. RefSeq lists it as uncharacterized. The transcript has 4 exons. Lineage: Eukaryota; Metazoa; Mollusca; Bivalvia; Myida; Dreissenidae. The record is from RefSeq and is a predicted model, not a curated record.